Molecule: ribosomal RNA, 253 nt
Filed under: uncultured bacterium
Lineage: Bacteria
Description: partial 16S ribosomal RNA
Rfam family: Bacterial small subunit ribosomal RNA
Source: RNAcentral
UACGAAGGGGGCUAGCGUUGUUCGGAAUUACUGGGCGUAAAGCGUGCGCAGGCGGCUGCUCAAGUCAGGGGUGAAAGCCCAGAGCUCAACUCUGGAAUUGCCUUUGAGACUGAGUGGCUUGAGUACGGGAGAGGUGAGUGGAAUUCCCAGUGUAGAGGUGAAAUUCGUAGAUAUUGGGAAGAACACCGGUGGCGAAGGCGGCUCACUGGCCCGUAACUGACGCUCAUGCACGACAGCGUGGGGAUCAAACAGG